CCGGACCAGUGUCCAAGGUCCGUUCCCACUUCCGCAUGCGUCGCUGGCAACGGCGGGGUGUGAAGCCGGAAGCGUAAGCCCAAGAGCGG
Molecule: non-coding RNA, 89 nt
Organism: Streptomyces ipomoeae 91-03
Lineage: Bacteria; Bacillati; Actinomycetota; Actinomycetes; Kitasatosporales; Streptomycetaceae
Source: Rfam